RNAcentral lists this ribosomal RNA (255 nucleotides) under uncultured bacterium. RNAcentral's name for it is "partial 16S ribosomal RNA". It matches the Rfam family "Bacterial small subunit ribosomal RNA", at positions 524 to 776 of the family's 1533-position model. The record is from RNAcentral.
GACGUAGGGGGCGAGCGUUGUCCGGAUUCAUUGGGCGUAAAGAGCGCGUAGGCGGCUCGGUCAGUCGGAUGUGAAAACCCGUGGCUCAACCACGGGCCUGCAUCCGAUACUGCCGGGCUAGAGGUAGGUAGGGGAGAUCGGAAUUCCUGGUGUAGCGGUGGAAAUGACGCAGAUAUCAGGAGGAACACCGGUGGCGAAGGCGGAUCUCUGGGCCUUACCUGACGCUCAGGCGCGAAAGCUAGGGGAGCGAACUGG